GACGAACGCUGGCGGCGUGCUUAACACAUGCAAGUCGAACGGAAAGGCCCCUUUCGGGGUACUCGAGUGGCGCACGGGUGCGUAACACGUGCGUAACCUGCCCUUGACUUCGGGAUAACUUCAGGAAACUGGGGCUAAUACCGGAUAGGAAUCCUUGCUGCAUGGUGGGGGUUGGAAAGCUUCGGCGGGUUUGGAUGGACUCGCUGCUUAUCAGCUUGCUGGUGGGGUAGUGGCUUACCAAGGCGUUGACGGGUAGCCGGCCUGAGAGGGCGACCGGCCACAUUGGGACUGAGAUACGGCCCAGACUCCGACGGGAGGCAGCAGUGGGGAAUAUUGCACAAUGGGCGGAAGCCUGAUGCAGCAACGCCGCGUGCGGGAUGACGGCCUUCGGGUUGUAAACCGAUUUCAGCAGGGGCGAAGCUUGUGGUGACGGUACCUGCAGAAGAAGCACCGGCUAACUACGUG
This 465-nucleotide ribosomal RNA is filed under the name uncultured bacterium. RNAcentral describes it as "partial 16S ribosomal RNA". It matches the Rfam family "Bacterial small subunit ribosomal RNA", at positions 28 to 507 of the family's 1533-position model. The record is from RNAcentral.